UUGGUAGGAGCGAUUGAGGGACGGAUAGAGAAGUGAGAUUCACAGUGGUGAGCGAAGAAGAUGAAUGAUUGAGGGUGAGAGAGAAUGGUUGAUAGAGAAGAUGAGUUUGAGGGAGCGUGAACAAAUGAAUGUUUCGUUACUGUUCCUCCCACCUUUCCUUCAUUUAUUUUAUUUUUACAAAACCAGCAUUAAAACCAUUAAAAAAAAUUGUUUAUGUUUAGUCUUCUAUUUUUUAUUAAAUGGUAUAUAUUGGUAUAUUUGUUUUCCCAAUUCAUAAUCCAUUGGAAAACCCAACAGCCAGGCGGCUAGGUUUUAUUUCUUG
RNAcentral lists this long non-coding RNA (322 nucleotides) under Lathyrus oleraceus (garden pea). RNAcentral describes it as "Pisum sativum (pea) long non-coding RNA (PSAT_LNC018941)". The record is from RNAcentral. Lineage: Eukaryota; Viridiplantae; Streptophyta; Magnoliopsida; Fabales; Fabaceae.